This 1198-nucleotide ribosomal RNA is filed under the name metagenome. RNAcentral describes it as "bacterial SSU rRNA". It matches the Rfam family "Bacterial small subunit ribosomal RNA", at positions 294 to 1521 of the family's 1533-position model. The record is from RNAcentral.
GAGAGGGUGGCCCCCCACAAUGGAACUGAAACACGGUCCAUACACCUACGGGUGGCAGCAGUAGGGAAUAUUGGGCAAUGGGCGAAAGCCUGACCCAGCAACGCCGCGUGUGCGAUGAAGGCCUUCGGGUCGUAAAGCACUUUUCUGGGAGAUGAGAAAGGACAGUAUCCCAGGAAUAAGUCUCGGCUAACUACGUGCCAGCAGCCGCGGUAACACGUAGGAGGCAAGCGUUAUCCGGAUUUACUGGGCGUAAAGCGCGUGCAGGCGGUUCGGUAAGUUGGAUGUGAAAGCUCCCGGCUCAACUGGGAGAGGUCGUUCAAUACUACCGGACUUGAGAGUGGUAGAGGAAGGCGGAAUUCCCGGUGUAGUGGUGAAAUGCGUAGAUAUCGGGAGGAACACCAGUGGCGAAGGCGGCCUUCUGGACCAUUUCUGACGCUCAGACGCGAAAGCUAGGGGAGCGAACGGGAUUAGAGACCCCGGUAGUCCUAGCAGUAAACGAUGUGAACUUGGCGUUGGUGGUGUAAAAACCAUCAGUGCCGAAGCUAACGCGAUAAGUUCACCGCCUGGGGACUACGGCCGCAAGGUUAAAACUCAAAGGAAUUGACGGGUCCCCGCACAAGCAGCGGAGCGUGUGGUUUAAUUCGAUUUUACACGAAGAACCUUACCCGGGUUUGACAUGUAGGUGGUAGUGAAGCGAAAGCAGAACGACCCUUCGGGGAGCCUACACAGGUGUUGCAUGGCUGUCGUCAGCUCGUGUCGUGAGAUGUCCGGUUAAGUCCGGCAACGAGCGCAACCCUCGCUGUAUGUUACAUGUGUCAUACGGUACUGCCGGUAUCAAGCCGGAGGAAGGAGAGGAUGACGUCAAGUCAGCAUGGCCCUUAUAUCCGGGGCUACACACACGCUACAAUGGUCGGUACAAUGGGUUGCUAAGCCGCGAGGUAGAGCCAAUCCCCAAAACCGGCCUCAGUUCAGAUCGCAGGCUGAAACUCGCCUACGUGAAGGUGGAGUUGCUAGUAAACGCGCGUCAGCUAUAGUGCGUUGAAUACGUUCCCGGGGAUUGUACACACCGCCCGUCACGUCAUGGGAGCUGGCAACACCUGAAGCCGGUAGCCUAACCGCAAGGAGGGCGCCGUCGAAGGUGGGGUCGGUGACUGGGACGAAGUCGUAACAAGGUAGGAGUACCGGGAGGUGCGCCUGG